CGGAGGCAGCAGUGGGGAAUUUUGCACAAUGGGCGCAAGCCUGAUGCAGCAAUACUGCGUGAAGGAUGAAGGUUUUCGGAUUGUAAACUUCUCUUAUCUGGGAAUAAUCUUGAAGGUACCAGAUGAAUAAGCACCGGCUAACUACGUGCCAGCAGCCGCGGUAAUACGUAGGGUGCAAACGUUAUCCGGAUUUAUUGGGCGUAAAGAGCUCGUAGGUGGUUUUGUAAGUUGGAUAUUAAAUACUCCGGCUCAACUGGAGAAAAGUAUUCAAAACUGCAUAACUUGAGGUAUGUAGGGGAGGAUGGAACCCACGGUGUAGCAGUGAAAUGCGUAGAUAUCGUGAGGAACGCCAAUGGUGAAGACAGUCCUCUGGACAUUACCUGACACUGAGGAGCGAAAGCGUGGGGAGCGAACGGGAUUAGAUACCCCUGUAGUCG
This 437-nucleotide ribosomal RNA is filed under the name uncultured bacterium. RNAcentral describes it as "bacterial SSU rRNA". It matches the Rfam family "Bacterial small subunit ribosomal RNA", at positions 343 to 796 of the family's 1533-position model. The record is from RNAcentral.